UUCAUGGAACCUGAUUUAGGAUGACAAUGAACUUGAGGACAAAUGUAAAGAGAAAUGACACCAUUUGUUUUGUAAUUUUGGUAGCCAUGGAAACUAUAUAAUCCCUGAUUUUGUAAUUCCACUUUUUUUUUUGGCAGACUUUAAGAGAUGAUUUUGUUCACCACCCAGACAGCCAAUAUUUUCCUGGGACUUUAUUGGCAUGGUAACAACUUGGUCCGCAAUGUGCUGGGGCUGCCUGAUGUGGUUUUUGGAAGAAUCCUGGUCAAAGUUAUAUGUGUUUAUUCCUGAUGCAUGAAGCCAUUGCUGAAAGGAAAAUAGCUGUCAGGUUUUUGUGGGGACAUCUGUAUUGCUUGAGGUGAUUACUACCAACCAGAAAUAUUGGUUGGUGCUGAUUAUGAAUUCAGCAUCAGUUGUUGUUCUGGUCUUAUUAUUCUUUUCCGUCUGUGGAUAAUAUGGAACGUGCUUAGGGAUCUCAGCAAUCUAUUUUGUAUUUUAUACAAGUGGAUACAUUGUAACCCCUCAUUUGUCUGGGCUCGUUGAUUCAGGGUCCUUUCCAAAUAUAAUAAUGAUGCAUGUAUUCCAUGCUUAAAGAAAAUAAGGGAAUUUCACCAGGAUAGCUUUCAUUUUAAUUAGGGGCCAGCAGCAGGGAAAUGUGUGUGCUCUACCCAGUUUGCGACGUGCAACUUGUUUAACAUAAGAUGACAUGAUAUUCAACUUGGAUUGGGUGCAUCUUCCAAUGUGUAUGGCACUAAAUCGAACCAUACAAAGAUUCCGUAGAGGAAUCUAGGAAGUUUAUGAUUUGGUUUGCAUGCAUGAACCGCUGACUGUUUUUCGCUGCUUCACCCGUUUGCCUAUCUGCCAACAAAUGCUUAGGCAUGUGAAAAUUGAUCAAGCUUGUUCAUCCCUGUUACUAUAUUAAACUUUCAAGAGCUACAUACUGCAGCUCAAGGGCUCAGGGUAAAGGUUAUUGCAACUCAAUCUACACCAAUCUGUUUGAGAGGAGGGUUUAUGAACUCAUUUGUAUGCACAGAGAUGUCACAAGCCAAUGAACCGAAGUGAAAAGAAACAAUUCCACUGACAAGGUUACCCCAGUGUUUUGGCAAGUCAGUGUUGUCAAAUGCAUAAAAAGAGAUGAAUGGUGCACGUUUGAUCAGUGUUGUCAAAUGCAUAAAAAGAGAUGAAUAGUGUACGUUUGAACUGACUACGUUUCAACAAAAACAUUCUUUGUAGACCAGCUUGAAGCAGAGGAACAUAGGUGAUACUGGUUCUCCUGGUAAUAGCCCUAGCUCAUGCACCACCUGCCCUCCAACCAGCUUCACCACCUUGGUGGUCUUGUAGAUGUUUUUGGUACCAUUGGUGAUCAGCUUUAACGCAGCAUGAAUCUCAGAGUUGAGCUGCACAACUGCUUACCUGAUUGCAGUGCGGAGGGAUCAACAUUGUAUACCAGAGCACAUGUGUUUCUUCUUUCGUACUCAAGUUACACUUGUAGGCUAAUUCCAGCACUUAAAUCCUGUCUUCAGGGUGUACCCCAACUUUACCAGCGGACUGCAGAACUUCAGAUAUGAGCAUACAUGCUGUUGAGGUGGAGUGGUUGUCGAAGUAGAUUGUAUCACCUUGUAUUCCUGGUGUCUGCGGAGGCCAUCAUCUUCACUGCUGUGGUGCUUGUGUGCCAGCCUCAACGGUCUGGUCUGACCAAUGGUGUGGUGGUUUUGCAUAAAUGGAGCUGUGUAGUAGGGACUGGGUAUGUGAGCAGCAAUGACCUUUGGAGAAUGGAUCCUUAAUUCUUUGUGGCACUGCUGGAGCUUUAUGUUUGACGGUUGACGCUCAGGGCAGAGUCAGCUCUGCUACUCGGCGUCCACAACCAACCUGUGGACCUGCCAGUGGCAGAAUUGUGCACAGGAUUGCAGUGGGACCUGUUUGUUUUGUUACCUACAGAUGUGGGUAUGAAAUUCCAAGUAGACAAGUACCAGAAACGGUUGGUUGGAGAUGAGCUCGUGACUUCACCUGUGGACGGUGGUGCAGGUUGGUGCUCGUAAUACAAAGUAAUGCGUUGAUCCACCUAUCCCCAUUGACUAUUACCACGUAUGUAUAUUGGCAACUGUUUCAUGGUCGUUGGGUCUCAGCAAAUCUAUACAAUGGUCCUGCACGGUUACUCA
Molecule: long non-coding RNA, 2156 nt
Organism: Panicum virgatum (switchgrass)
Lineage: Eukaryota; Viridiplantae; Streptophyta; Magnoliopsida; Poales; Poaceae
Exons: 4
Source: RefSeq, a predicted model, not a curated record